GAUCAUGGCUCAGGAUGAACGCUGGCGGCGUGCCUAACACAUGCAAGUCGAGCGGAGAUAAGUGAAGCCUAGCGAUUCUAUCUAGCGGCGGAUGGGUGAGUAACACGUGGGUAACCUGCCCUGCACUGGGGAAUAACAGCUGGAAACGGCUGUUAAUGCCGCAUAUGCGCACGGAGCCGCAUGGCUUUGGGCGGAAAGAUUUAUCGGUGCAGGAUGGGCCCGCGCCGGAUUAACUAGUUGGCGGGGUAACGGCCCACCAAGGUGAUGAUCCGUAGCCGACCUGAGAGGGUGACCGGCCACAUUGGGACUGAGACACGGCCCAAACUCCUACGGGAGGCAGCAGUGGGGGAUAUUGCACAAUGGGGGAAACCCUGAAUGCAGCGACGCCGCGUGAAGGAUGAAGUAUUUCGGUAUGUAAACUUCUAUCAGCGGGGAAGAAGAUGACGGUACCCGACUAAGAAGCCCCGGCUAACUACGUGCCAGCCGCCGC
This 490-nucleotide ribosomal RNA is filed under the name uncultured bacterium. Its description in RNAcentral is "bacterial SSU rRNA". It matches the Rfam family "Bacterial small subunit ribosomal RNA", at positions 15 to 518 of the family's 1533-position model. The record is from RNAcentral.